RNA transcript from Cyclopterus lumpus (lumpfish), 2022 nucleotides. It is a transcript of the gene named D-aminoacyl-tRNA deacylase 1, with no coding region annotated. The record is from RefSeq and is a predicted model, not a curated record. Lineage: Eukaryota; Metazoa; Chordata; Actinopteri; Perciformes; Cyclopteridae. The transcript is spliced from 6 exons.
UAACAAUGGACAAUGAAGUAUGAAUGAAUGAAUGAAUGUUUUGGUGUGAGGACACGCUCUGCCAUUGUGUUUGGAUGCUAAUGGUCUGACCGCAGAUAUAUUUUAUUCUUUCCCUGCCAACAAUAUUCAUUAAUGUUACUGUUGUUCACAGGAUGGCUAAUGAUGUGGAAAUAAACCUUAUCUCUUAACAUCAGACAUGUUUUUAGGGUUAACUCUAACCCACGAUUGAGGCAGCCUAGAGGGAUUCAUCUGUUUUUGUCUUCCAAAAAAAAGAAAGAAAGAAGGUCUAUGAGGUGGGAGUAGUAUUAGAAGCACCUUUUUAGUUUUCCCGACCUGGUGAAAGCCAUGAUGUCCAUUCACGCAAUACCCGACACAUCAACGCUGCACUAUAAUGUAAUAUUGUAAAAUGUGCAUUAUUGCUCCGAUGCGUCAAACAGUUGCGCUGUUGUAUCAAUUAAAAACAUCCGAAUCCGAAUCCGAAACAAUUUAUUGCCAGGAAUGUUUACACAAACGAGGAAUUAAUUGGGCGGAAGGUGGAACAUUAGACAUGACAAACAACAAUCAACGCGACAGCAACAGUGCAAUGUAUUAAGUAUAAGAUAAAGAUAAAGUGCUCAGACAAGAAAUAAAGUUAAAGUUAGUACAUUGAGUUGUGUUGGGGUUAAAUAAGCUCUCUCUCAUUCCCUGCUUGUAAUACAUCAUUCAUAUUUAGAGGUUGCUAUUACAUUCACUAACUCAGUUGUUAGUUACACUGUACAAAACAAAUACUCCAUUACAUGUGAAAGUCCUGCUUUCCAAAAUGAAAUAAAACAAACUUAAAGGUGAGAACACGUGCUUAUGCAGGAAAAUUAGCUUUGUCAGAGUUAAUUGUUGUACUACUGUUUUAUUUCUGCUGUAUUAAAGGCCCUAAGCCAUUUGAGAUAUUUAAAAUACUGUCGGUGUGUACAUUUACUGUUAAACAAUGCAUCACAUUCUAUGUUCAUAGGUUUAAAAUCCUGAUCUGCAAAGUACAAAGUAGAAUAUUUCCCUGGUGGAGUCGCCUUCAAGCACAGGGGAAAACAACAGGAAAUGAAACAACCCAAGUGAGGUAGAAGUACCUCAGAAUUGUACUCGGUCACUUCCCACUUAUGCCACGAAGAAGAAGGAUCACGUCUGUCCUACACGCCUCCGGAAGGAGGAGAGGACGUGUGCGCUGCGUGUUCCGCCCGCUAGAGGGCGUCAGUGUCCCGUCCACGGCGAAGGUGUGCGUGUAAGCUAAGAGAGCGAGCGAGCGAGCCGCCCGACACCCGGAACCAUGCGAGCUAUCAUUCAGAGGGUCACCAAGGCGAGCGUGACGGUGGGAGAAGAAGAGAUCAGUUCAAUAGGACGAGGCCUGUGUGUCCUGCUGGGAGUGUCGGUGGAGGACACCCAGAAGGAUGCGGACUACAUAAUACGAAAGAUCCUCAACCUGCGGCUGUUCGAGGACGAGAGCGGCCGAGCGUGGACCAAAAGCGUCAUGGACCAGGACCUGGAGGUGCUGUGCGUGAGCCAGUUCACGCUGCAGUGUGUCCUGAAGGGCAACAAGCCGGACUUCCACAUGGCCAUGCCCGCUGAGCUGGCCCUGCCCUUCUACGACAGCAUCCUGGAGAACAUGAGGAGCAGCUACAAGCCGGAGCGUAUCAAGGACGGGAAGUUCGGGGCCGCCAUGCAGGUCCACAUUCAAAACGACGGACCUGUUACCAUCGAACUGACGUCCCCCACUGGCCCCUCAGACCCCAGACAGGCCCCGUUUCAGAUGGAGGCUCCUGUUGUGGUGUUUCACGGGCUGUGACGAACACCGUGAGGAAAGGAGGACUGACUACACUGUGAACUGUUAUUCAUGACUGCGCAGGCGGUCACAACAAUAGACCUGUUGAAGUGGGCCUCUGACGAGCCAGAACUGUCAAAGCAGGAGAAGCAGCAGCAGAGGAAAGAGAAGACGCGCUCCAAGGGCCCCUCCGAGUCCGGCAGGGGGAAAGGCGCCGUACGUUCCCGACAGGACCC